UACGAAGGGGGCUAGCGGUGUUCGGAAUUACUGGGCGUAAAGGGCGCGUAGGCGGCGCGUUAAGUCAGGUGUGAAAGCCCUGGGCUCAACCCAGGAACUGCACUUGAUACUGACGUGCUUGAAUCCGGAAGAGGUUGAUGGAAUUCCCAGUGUAGAGGUGAAAUUCAUAGAUAUUGGGAAGAACACCAGUGGCGAAGGCGGUCCACUGGUCCGUUACUGACGCUGAGGUGCGACAGCGUGGGGAGCAAACAGG
RNAcentral lists this ribosomal RNA (253 nucleotides) under uncultured bacterium. RNAcentral's name for it is "partial 16S ribosomal RNA". It matches the Rfam family "Bacterial small subunit ribosomal RNA", at positions 524 to 776 of the family's 1533-position model. The record is from RNAcentral.